Molecule: ribosomal RNA, 483 nt
Filed under: Gemella sanguinis
Lineage: Bacteria; Bacillati; Bacillota; Bacilli; Caryophanales; Gemellaceae
Description: bacterial SSU rRNA
Rfam family: Bacterial small subunit ribosomal RNA
Source: RNAcentral
GACGAACGCUGGCGGCGUGCCUAAUACAUGCAAGUCGAGCGAAGUUUUUCUGGUGCUUGCACUAGAAAAACUUAGCGGCGAACGGGUGAGUAACACGUAAAGAACCUGCCUCAUAGACGGGGACAACUAUUGGAAACGAUAGCUAAUACCGGAUAACAGCAUAAAUCGCAUGAUAUAUGUUUAAAAGUUGGUUUCGGCUAACACUAUGAGAUGGCUUUGCGGUGCAUUAGCUAGUUGGUGGGGUAAAGGCCUACCAAGGCGACGAUGCAUAGCCGACCUGAGAGGGUGAUCGGCCACACUGGGACUGAGACACGGCCCAGACUCCUACGGGAGGCAGCAGUAGGGAAUCUUCCGCAAUGGGCGAAAGCCUGACGGAGCAACGCCGCGUGAGUGAAGAAGGAUUUCGGUUCGUAAAGCUCUGUUGUUAGGGAAGAAUGUAUGUAUAGUAACUAUAUACAGUAGAGACGGUACCUAACCAGAAAG